This 817-nucleotide ribosomal RNA is filed under the name uncultured organism. RNAcentral describes it as "bacterial SSU rRNA". It matches the Rfam family "Bacterial small subunit ribosomal RNA", at positions 30 to 811 of the family's 1533-position model. The record is from RNAcentral.
CGAACGCUGGCGGCGUGGCUAAACAUGCAAGUCGCACGGAAAGGCGGCUUCUGACCCUUCGGGUGACGAAGCUGUACUCAAGUGGCGAAAGGGCGAGGAAUACAUGGAUAACGUGCCUUUGGCAUGGGGACAGCUGAGGGAAACUUCAGGUAAUACCCAAUGAGACCACAGUGCUUUCGGGCACAGGGGUCAAAGGUGGGGCUCCUUCGGGACCUAUCGGCCAUAGAGCGGUCCAUGUCCUAUCAGCUUGUUGGUGAGGUAAUGGCUCACCAAGGCGACGACGGUACCGGGACUGAGAGGUUGACCCGGCGCAUCGGGACUGAGACACUGCCCGGACUCCUACGGGAGGCUGCAGUAACGAAUAUUGGUCAAUGGGCGAAAGCCUGAACCAGCGACGCCGCGUGUGGGAGGAAGCCCUUCGGGGUGUAAACCACUGUCAGGGAUUACCAAGCAAUGGAGGCUAAUACCCUCCUGCGUUGAGGCGUCCCAGAGGAAGUCACGGCUAACUUCGUGCCAGCAGCCGCGGUAAUACGAAGGUGGCGAGCGUUGUUCGGAAUCACUGGGCUUAAAGAGCACGUAGGCGGACUGCCAAGCGUCUUGUGAAAUCCCCCGGCUCAACCGGGGAAUUGCUGGGCGAACUGGUAGUCUUGAGGCAAGUAGGGGCAGAUGGAACUCUUGGUGGAGCGGUGGAAUGCGUAGAUAUCAAGAGGAACGCCAGAGGCGAAGGCGAUCUGCUGGGCUUGACCUGACGCUGAGGUGCGAAAGCCAGGGGAGCAAACGGGAUUAGAUACCCCGGUAGUCCUGGCCAUAAACGAUG